GACGAACGCUGGCGGCGUGCCUAAUACAUGCAAGUAGAACGCUGAAGAGAGGAGCUUGCUCUUCUUGGAUGAGUUGCGAACGGGUGAGUAACGCGUAGGUAACCUGCCUUGUAGCGGGGGAUAACUAUUGGAAACGAUAGCUAAUACCGCAUAACAAUGGAUGACACAUGUCAUUUAUUUGAAAGGGGCAAUUGCUCCACUACAAGAUGGACCUGCGUUGUAUUAGCUAGUAGGUGAGGUAACGGCUCACCUAGGCGACGAUACAUAGCCGACCUGAGAGGGUGAUCGGCCACACUGGGACUGAGACACGGCCCAGACUCCUACGGGAGGCAGCAGUAGGGAAUCUUCGGCAAUGGGGGCAACCCUGACCGAGCAACGCCGCGUGAGUGAAGAAGGUUUUCGGAUCGUAAAGCUCUGUUGUAAGUCAAGAACGAGUGUGAGAGUGGAAAGUUCACACUGUGACGGUAGCUUACCAGAAAGGGACGGCUAACUACGUGCCAGCAGCCGCGGUAAUACGUAGGUCCCGAGCGUUGUCCGGAUUUAUUGGGCGUAAAGCGAGCGCAGGCGGUUUGAUAAGUCUGAAGUUAAAGGCUGUGGCUCAACCAUAGUUCGCUUUGGAAACUGUCAAACUUGAGUGCAGAAAGGGAGAGUGGAAUUCCAUGUGUAGCGGUGAAAUGCGUAAUAUAUGGGAGGAACACCGGUGGAGAAAACGGCUCUCUCGUCUGUAACUGACGCUGAGGCUCGAAGGCGUGGGGGAGCGAACGGGAUUAGGUACCCUAGUAAGCAAAGGGGAGUUGCGAAAGGAUAUAAGGGUUAUGAUUCGGUCACCUCAGGGCGGGCGCGCGCGCGGGUUUGAGCCCGUUUUUCGGGGGAAAAAAAUAUAUAUUACCCGCGCCGGGGGGGGGUUUUUUCCACCUUGGCCGCGCGAGGAAAAAGAAGAAAAAAAAAAAAUCCUUCUUUUUUAUAGUUUUUUUGAUGGGUGGGGGCGCCCCCCCCUCUUUUCUCCCUAAGGAUAAAAAGGAGAUGAGAGUUCUUUUGUUUGGGGGGCCCCGGGGAGGGUACUUUUUUUUGGGGGGGCCGCCACGGAGCACGCACUAUCUCUUAAAGAAUGUGUAACAUGCGCGCGGCCCACUCACUUUUUAUGAAAAAAGAAAAACCAG
This 1160-nucleotide ribosomal RNA is filed under the name Rothia mucilaginosa. RNAcentral describes it as "partial 16S ribosomal RNA". The stretch from base 1 to 829 matches the Rfam family "Bacterial small subunit ribosomal RNA", at positions 28 to 873 of the family's 1533-position model. The record is from RNAcentral. Lineage: Bacteria; Bacillati; Actinomycetota; Actinomycetes; Micrococcales; Micrococcaceae.